This 252-nucleotide ribosomal RNA is filed under the name uncultured bacterium. RNAcentral describes it as "partial 16S ribosomal RNA". It matches the Rfam family "Bacterial small subunit ribosomal RNA", at positions 524 to 776 of the family's 1533-position model. The record is from RNAcentral.
UACGUAGGUGGCGAGCGUUAUCCGGAAUGAUUGGGCGUAAAGGGUGCGUAGGCGGCCUGCUAAGUCUGGAGUGAAAGGUACCGGCUCAACCGGUACAGGCUCUGGAAACUGGCGGGCUAGAGAGCAGGAGAGGGCGGUGGAACUCCAUGUGUAGCGGUAAAAUGCGUAGAUAUAUGGAAGAACACCAGUGGCGAAGGCGGCCUACUGGACGGUGACUGACGCUGAGGCUCGAAAGCGUGGGGAGCAAAUAGG